Molecule: ribosomal RNA, 530 nt
Filed under: uncultured bacterium
Lineage: Bacteria
Description: bacterial SSU rRNA
Rfam family: Bacterial small subunit ribosomal RNA
Source: RNAcentral
GCCGCGUGAGUGAUGAAGGUUUCGGAUCGUAAACUCUGUUGUUAGGGAAGAACAAGUACCGUUCGAACAGGGCGGUACCUUGACGGUACCUAACCAGAAAGCCACGGCUAACUACGUGCCAGCAGCCGCGGUAAUACGUAGGUGGCAAGCGUUGUCCGGAAUUAUUGGGCGUAAAGCGCGCGCAGGCGGUUUCUUAAGUCUGAUGUGAAAGCCCCCGGCUCAACCGGGGAGGGUCAUUGGAAACUGGGGAACUUGAGUGCAGAAGAGGAGAGUGGAAUUCCACGUGUAGCGGUGAAAUGCGUAGAGAUGUGGAGGAACACCAGUGGCGAAGGCGACUCUCUGGUCUGUAACUGACGCUGAGGAGCGAAAGCGUGGGGAGCGAACAGGAUUAGAUACCCUGGUAGUCCACGCCGUAAACGAUGAGUGCUAGGUGUAAGGGGGUUUCCGCCCCUUAGUGCUGAAGUUAACGCAUUAAGCACUCCGCCUGCGGAGUACGGCCGCAAGGCUGAAACUUCAAAAGAAUUGACGGG